Molecule: ribosomal RNA, 1514 nt
Filed under: uncultured bacterium
Lineage: Bacteria
Description: 16S ribosomal RNA
Rfam family: Bacterial small subunit ribosomal RNA
Source: RNAcentral
GAGUUUGAUCAUGGCUCAGGACGAACGCUGGCGGCGUGCUUAACACAUGCAAGUCGGGGGGCGGCCAGCGAUGGCCGUGACCGGCGAACGGGUGCGGAACACGUGAGCGACCUGCCCUGGAGUGGGGGAUAGCCGGCCCAACGGCCGGGUAAUCCCGCAUGCGGCCGUGGCUUGGAGGCCACUGGCGAAAGCCCGGCGUGAGCCGGGCGCUCGAGGAGGGGCUCGCGGCCUAUCAGCUAGUUGGGGGGGUGACGGCCUCCCAAGGCGACGACGGGUAGCUGGUCUGAGAGGAUGGCCAGCCACAUUGGGACUGAGAGACGGCCCAGACUCCUACGGGAGGCAGCAGUGGGGAAUCUUGCGCAAUGGGCGAAAGCCUGACGCAGCGACGCCGCGUGGAGGAUGAGGCCCUUCGGGGUGUAAACUCCUGUUGCCCGGGACGAACGCCACCACUCGUGGUGGGUGACGGUACCGGGUGAGGAAGCACCGGCUAACUCUGUGCCAGCAGCCGCGGUAAUACAGAGGGUGCGAGCGUUGUCCGGAAUUACUGGGCGUAAAGGGCGCGUAGGCGGCCCCGUGCGCGUGCCGUGAAAGCCCGGGGCUCAACCCCGGGUCGGCGGUGCGGACGGCGGGGCUGGAGCACGUCAGGGGCAGGCGGAAUUCCGGGUGUAGCGGUGGAAUGCGUANAGAUCCGGAAGAACACCGGUGGCGAAGGCGGCCUGCUGGGGCGUGGCUGACGCUGANGCGCGACAGCGUGGGGAGCAAACAGGANNANAUACCCUGGUANUCCACGCCGNANACGAUGGGCACUAGGUGCCCGGGGGAGCGACCCCCUGGGUGCNGGCGCUAACGCAUUAAGUGCNCCGCCUGGGGAGUACGNCCGCAAGGCUGAAACUCAAAGGAAUUGACGGGGGCCCGCACAAGCGGUGGAGCAUGUGGUUUAAUUCGACGCAACGCGAAGAACCUUACCCGGGCUUGACAUGGCUCGGACGGCCUGCGGAAACGUAGGCGUUCCUUCGGGACCGAGUCACAGGUGCUGCAUGGCUGUCGUCAGCUCGUGUCGUGAGAUGUUGGGUUAAGUCCCGCAACGAGCGCAACCCCCGCCCCUAGUUGCCAGCGGGUAGAGCCGGGGACUCUAGGGGGACUGCCGGUGCCAAACCGGAGGAAGGUGGGGACGACGUCAAGUCAUCAUGGUCCUUACGCCCGGGGCCACACACGUGCUACAAUGGCGGGGACAGCGGGGCGCCAGGGCGCGAGCCCGAGCCGAUCCCGAAACCCCGCCUCAGUUCGGAUUGUCCUCUGCAACUCGAGGGCAUGAAGCUGGAAUCGCUAGUAAUCGCGGAUCAGCUACGCCGCGGUGAAUACGUUCCCGGGCCUUGUACACACCGCCCGUCACGCCAUGGAAGCGGCGAGCGCCCGAAGUCCGUGCAGGAACCCGGCGACGGGGCCGAGCGGCCGAAGGCGAGCGUCGUGACUGGGGCGAAGUCGUAACAAGGUAGCCGUAGGGGAACCUGCGG